Molecule: transfer RNA, 72 nt
Filed under: Camelus bactrianus (Bactrian camel)
Lineage: Eukaryota; Metazoa; Chordata; Mammalia; Artiodactyla; Camelidae
Also listed under: 1 other name
Rfam family: tRNA
About the family: Transfer RNA (tRNA) molecules are approximately 80 nucleotides in length. Their secondary structure includes four short double-helical elements and three loops (D, anti-codon, and T loops).
Source: Rfam by way of RNAcentral
GAAGGCACAGCUCAGUGGUAGAGCAUGUGCUUCACAUGCACGAGGUCCUGGGUUCAAUCCCCAGUACUUCCA